UGAUGAUGAGUGUAACGGCAAAAAGAGUUGAGAUAGGCCUAAAGAAGCUAGAGUGUAAUAAGAGAGUGUUCUCAUGCUGGAUUAGAUGUUGAAUCGAGUACUAGUUGUAUUUCUUUUGGCUAUGAGCUCCCACCUUCAAACCUCUCUCCCUAUGAGUUCUAGAAAGUUCAUUUGUGGACAAGUAAAAGAACAAGUUUGGGGGAGUUGAUAUCUUCCAUAUUUCCAUUAUCUUAUCUAUUCAUCCAUGUGCAUUUUGAUCAUAUAGACUAGGAUUUAGCCA
RNAcentral lists this long non-coding RNA (280 nucleotides) under Brassica napus (rape). RNAcentral's name for it is "long non-coding RNA (BNAP_LNC018558)". The record is from RNAcentral. Lineage: Eukaryota; Viridiplantae; Streptophyta; Magnoliopsida; Brassicales; Brassicaceae.